Molecule: long non-coding RNA, 845 nt
Filed under: Homo sapiens (human)
Lineage: Eukaryota; Metazoa; Chordata; Mammalia; Primates; Hominidae
Description: long intergenic non-protein coding RNA 3122
Source: RNAcentral
ACAAUGCUCCCUCACAUGGGGCACAGAGAGGAAGGAAUUUUUUUUUUAAGCCAAUUCCAGUCCCUGGAGCUGCAAACUGCCCUCAGGGCAAAGAAGCCUGCAGAAUAAUUGGGAGGAGUCUGGCAGGAAGGAAGCCAAGAAAGCACAAGCAAGAAUGUGUGAGAAGAUCACAGAGACCUAAAGAAGGGGAAGGGAAGAACCCACAUGUGAGAGAGAAGAGAUUGUCUGACUUGGUCUCUUAGGGCUCCUCAUCUCAAGAAGCCAGCAGGCAAGGGAAGGACAAACCAUCCUUGCAGGAAUAAUUCGUACUGAUCAUUUGGAGGAGAUUCGGCUAGUAUAGCUGCUGUUACAUAAUGAAGAAAAGGAAGAAUAUGUUUCAAACUCAGAUGAACCACUGGGGAGUCUCUUGAUACUCUGUUGCCUAAUUUGGAUGGUUAAUGGGUGUUGCGCCUUAAAGCACUAUCCAAUAAACCUCCUACAUGCAAAUCUCCAUCUCAGAAUCUGUAUCCAAGAGAUUCUACUCAAGACAUCAUCUUUUCCAGUCAGUGUUCCUAAUUGCACUGCCCCUGGAAAACGCACGGAGAAGAAAUACAGCAAAAUACAUGAGAUGGUGAAACACUCUGGCAACUGCAAGCGGACAGAUGGGAUCUGGGAGGUAAUGCAGGGUCACAGGGCAGUUACACCAGGAUAUUUGGUUCUUUCCUACUCUCCUUUCCCCACCCUCAAUGCUAUAUACAUAACUGCUAGUGAAUCAAUUUAUGUACAUAUCCCAGAUAUCUAGGACUGGUUGAGGCGGGUUAUCCAAGAGAGUCACAGUGUAUUACCAUUUUUUAUUAAGUACAACC